GACGAACGCUGGCGGCGUGGAUUAGGCAUGCAAGUCGAACGGUAUCAUCCUUUCGGGGGUGAGAGAGUGGCGAACUGGUGAGUAACACGUAGGUUAUCUACCCUCAAGACGGGGACAACCCAGGGAAACUUGGGCUAAUACCGGAUGUGAGCAACUUUUAGUUGUUUGAAAGGUGGCGUAAGCUGUCGCUUGGGGAUGAGCCUGCGUCCUAUUAGUUAGUUGGUGAGGUAACGGCUCACCUAGGCAAUGAUAGGUAGGCGGCCUUAACGGGUGGUCGCCCACACUGGGAUUGAGAUACGGCCCAGACUCCUACGGGAGGCAGCAGUCGAGAAUAGUCUACAAUGGUCGGAAGACUGAUAGUGCGACGCCGCGUGAACGAUGAAUCCCUUCGGGGUUAAAGUUCUUUUAUAUGUGAGCAGUGCUUCUUAUAUUAACAGUAUGGGGAAGAGAUAUUAGCAUAUGAAAUAAGCAACGGCUAAACUCCGUGCCAGCAGCCGCGGUAAUA
Molecule: ribosomal RNA, 505 nt
Filed under: uncultured bacterium
Lineage: Bacteria
Description: bacterial SSU rRNA
Rfam family: Bacterial small subunit ribosomal RNA
Source: RNAcentral